RNAcentral lists this ribosomal RNA (369 nucleotides) under uncultured organism. RNAcentral describes it as "partial 16S ribosomal RNA". It matches the Rfam family "Bacterial small subunit ribosomal RNA", at positions 527 to 896 of the family's 1533-position model. The record is from RNAcentral.
GUAGGUGGCAAGCGUUGUCCGGAAUUAUUGGGCGUAAAGCGCGCGCAGGCGGUUCUUUAAGUCUGAUGUGAAAGCCCACGGCUCAACCGUGGAGGGUCAUUGGAAACUGGAGAACUUGAGUACAGAAGAGGAAAGCGGAAUUCCACGUGUAGCGGUGAAAUGCGUAGAGAUGUGGAGGGACACCAGUGGCGAAGGCGGCUUUCUGGUCUGUAACUGACGCUGAGGCGCGAAAGCGUGGGGAGCAAACAGGAUUAGAUACCCUGGUAGUCCAGCCGUAAACGAUGAGUGCUAAGUGUUAGGGGGUUUCGCCCCCCUUAGUGCUGCAGCUAACGCAUUAAGCACUCCGCCUGGGAUACGGCCGCAAGGCUG